RNAcentral lists this ribosomal RNA (253 nucleotides) under uncultured bacterium. RNAcentral describes it as "partial 16S ribosomal RNA". It matches the Rfam family "Bacterial small subunit ribosomal RNA", at positions 524 to 776 of the family's 1533-position model. The record is from RNAcentral.
UACGGAGGGUGCAAGCGUUAAUCGGAAUUACUGGGCGUAAAGCGCGCGCAGGCGGCCUUUCAAGUCAGGGGUGAAAGCCCGGAGCUCAACUCCGGAAUUGCCUUUGAAACUGUCAGGCUCGAGUACGGGAGAGGUGAGUGGAAUUCCCAGUGUAGAGGUGAAAUUCGUAGAUAUUGGGAAGAACACCGGUGGCGAAGGCGGCUCACCGGCCCGUUUCUGACGCUCAGGCGCGACAGCGUGGGGAUCAAACAGG